Long non-coding RNA from Dermacentor silvarum, 1000 nucleotides. RefSeq lists it as uncharacterized. NCBI's taxonomy places the organism in Eukaryota, Metazoa, Arthropoda, Arachnida, Ixodida, Ixodidae. The record is from RefSeq and is a predicted model, not a curated record. The transcript is spliced from 3 exons.
CAUCGUCGGUCCGUAUCCAGCUCCAUAUGGCCCACUUCCAGAAGUUGGUAGUUUCAACGUGCUGCCGUAGCUAGGUCCAUAUCCGUAACCAGUGCUCCCAGGUGCCGGAAAUUUCAUCGUUGGUCCGUAUCCAGCUCCAUAUGGCCCACUUCCAGAAGCUGGUAGUUUCAACGUGCUGCCGUAGCUAGGUCCGUAUCCGUAACCAGUGCUCCCAGAUGCCGGUAAUUUCAUCGUUGGUCCGUAUCCAGCUCCAUAUGGCCCGCUUCCAGAAGCUGGUAGUUUCAACGUGCUGCCGUAACUAGGUCCAUAUCCGUAACCAGUGCUCCCAGAUGCCGGAAAUUUCAUCGUCGGUCCGUAUCCAGCUCCAUAUGGCCCGCUUCCAGAAGCUGGUAGUUUCAACGUGCUGCCGUAGCUAGGUCCGUAUCCGUAACCAGUGCUCCCAGAUGCCGGAAAUUUCAUCGUCGGUCCGUAUCCAGCUCCAUAUGGCCCGCUUCCAGAAGCUGGUAGUUUCAACGUGCCGCCGUAGCUAGGUCCGUAUCCGUAACCAGUGCUCCCGGAUGCCGGAAAUUUCAUCGUUGGUCCGUACCCAGCUCCAUAUGGCCCGCUUCCUGAAGCUGGUAGUUUCAACGAGCUGCCAUAGCUAGGUCCGUAUCCGUAACCAGUGUUCCCAGGUGCCGGAAAUUUCAUCGUUGGUCCGUAUCCAGCUCCAUAUGGCCCGCUUCCAGAAGCUGGUAGUUUCAACGUGCUGCCGUAGCUAGGUCCGUAUCCGUAACCAGUGCUCCCAGAUGCCGGUAAUUUCAUCGUUGGUCCGUAUCCAGCUCCAUAUGGCCCGCUUCCAGAAGCUGGUAGUUUCAACGUGCUGCCGUAGCUAGGUCCAUAUCCGUAACCAGUGCUCCCAGAUGCCGGAAAUUUCAUCGUCGGUCCAUAUCCAGCUCCAUAUGGCCCGCUUCCAGAAGCUGGUAGUUUCAACGUGCUGCCGUAGCUAGGUCCGUAUCCGUAA